RNAcentral lists this ribosomal RNA (464 nucleotides) under uncultured bacterium. RNAcentral describes it as "partial 16S ribosomal RNA". It matches the Rfam family "Bacterial small subunit ribosomal RNA", at positions 339 to 795 of the family's 1533-position model. The record is from RNAcentral.
CUACGGGAGGCUGCAGUGGGGAAUAUUGCACAAUGGGCGCAAGCCUGAUGCAGCCAUGCCGCGUGUAUGAAGAAGGCCUUCGGGUUGUAAAGUACUUUCAGCGGGGAGGAAGGGAGUAAAGUUAAUACCUUUGCUCAUUGACGUUACCCGCAGAAGAAGCACCGGCUAACUCCGUGCCAGCAGCCGCGGUAAUACGGAGGGUGCACGCGUUAAUCGGAAUUACUGGGCGUAAAGCGCACGCAGGCGGUUUGUUAAGUCAGAUGUGAAAUCCCCGGGCUCAACCUGGGAACUGCAUCUGAUACGGGCAAGCUUGAGUCUCGUAGAGGGGGGUAGAAUUCCAGGUGUAGCGGUGAAAUGCGUAGAGAUCUGGAGGAAUACCGGUGGCGAAGGCGGCCCCCUGGACGAAGACCGACGCUCAGGUGCGAAAGCGUGGGGAGCAAACAGGAUUAGAUACCCGCGUAGUC